Molecule: long non-coding RNA, 800 nt
Filed under: Ananas comosus (pineapple)
Lineage: Eukaryota; Viridiplantae; Streptophyta; Magnoliopsida; Poales; Bromeliaceae
Description: long non-coding RNA (ACOM_LNC025261)
Source: RNAcentral
CUUACAUUUUUAAAAAUACUAAAUUAUUCAUGCUUGUAGAUUUUUCAGUCUAUAAAUUAAACGAUGUGUAAUUAGAAUAAUAAUAGUCUUUUAGAGUUGAGUAGUUGGUUGGUUAAAUAAUAUGAUUUAACGAAUAAAAAUAAUUAAAAAAAUAAAUGUAAUGAUGAAAAAUUUAUGAACAUUAAGUGCUUGAUAUACAUAUACAGAGUCUGUCUGGAAAGCAUUUAGUGCUAUUGAGUUUUCUACCGUUAGAUUUAAUCUUUUGAUUAUUUUUAUCCGUUAGAUUAUAUUAUUCAACCAACCACCACUCAACCUUAGAGGUCCACAUUAUCCUAACUGUAUAUUUCUCAAUCCAAAGACUAAAAAACUAAUAGCACCAAUAACUUGGUUCUAUUAAUAGUAGCCAGUCUAGUUCUAUAUAUAUAUAUAUAUAUAUAUAUAUAUAUAUAUAUAUAAUUGAGUUAGAAUACUCUCAAAAGCACCAAGGAGAUGGUGCUUUUGAGUUUUUAACCAUUAGAUGGAGAGAUGUAGGGUUGAGAUGAUGGUAAUAGGUGAUGGUAGGUGGAAUAGUGUUUGAUCCAAAAAAUAUUAGUAAUUAAGGAGUAGAUUCAAAGACUAGAAACUUAAAAGCACUAAGAGAUUGGUGUUUCUAAAAAUAUUCUAGCUUAAUUAUAUACAUAUAUAUAUUUGAAUUAUAUCGUGUCAGAACACGUGCAAGCGAAUUUCAGAUCUUGUUCAGAUAAUUAAAUUUUAAACUAAAAAAUUUAACAUAUAUUUAAAUUAUUUAUUAAAUAAAUAAU